UUCCAAUGUGACACCUUAUUCAAGGAGCUGAUAAAUCAGCUUUAGACGGUGAAUUAUUGGCCUACCGUGGCAAUUCAGGGUAACUUAGAAUUAGGGUUCGAUUCCGGAGAGGGAGCCUGAGAAACGGCUACCACAUCUAAGGACCUAGGCAGGCGCGCAAAUUACCCAAUCCUAAUACAGGGAAUUAGUGACAAGAAAUACCAGGUAAGGGGUUAACCCUUUUGUAAUUGGAAUGAGUUAAGUAUAAACCCCUUUACAAGUUUACUAAGGCCAAGGAUUUUGGUGCCAGCAGCCGCGGUAAUUCCAGCUCCGGAUUAGGCUAUUAAAGUUGGAACCUUAAAAAAGCUCGUAGUUGGAUUUCUGUUAAUAACCAGGACUUAACCUUAGGACCCUUACCUUAUUACCGGACUCAUAAUUCAUAUUACUAUAUAUUUAAGUUUUUAAGUUAAAGAAUUACAUUAAAAUUAGAGUGCUUAAAGCAGGCUAUUGCGGAGGGAAUUCCUUAGGAACCAUUUAAUUAAGAUUUUUAUUUACUUACCAGGUUCUAAGAAACCCUUAUUCCAAUUAGGGGACAGUUGGGGGCAUUUGUAUUUAACAGUCAGAGGUGAAAGGAAUUUCCCGGACUUAGGAAAACUAAUGCGAAAGCAUUUGCCAAGGAUGGGGCUUUAACUUUCCAUUUGAGGUUCAAACAUCGAAGACGAUCAGAUACCACUCUGAUCU
RNAcentral lists this ribosomal RNA (720 nucleotides) under Cryptosporidium sp. RNAcentral describes it as "SSU rRNA". It matches the Rfam family "Eukaryotic small subunit ribosomal RNA", at positions 280 to 1026 of the family's 1831-position model. Lineage: Eukaryota; Apicomplexa; Conoidasida; Eucoccidiorida; Cryptosporidiidae. The record is from RNAcentral.